This 486-nucleotide ribosomal RNA is filed under the name Marthasterias sp. Hap_13. RNAcentral describes it as "partial 16S ribosomal RNA". It matches the Rfam family "Bacterial large subunit ribosomal RNA", at positions 1939 to 2583 of the family's 2925-position model. Lineage: Eukaryota; Metazoa; Echinodermata; Asteroidea; Forcipulatida; Asteriidae. The record is from RNAcentral.
AUUUUGACCGUAGCAAGGUAGCAUAAUCAUUUGCCUCUUAAAUAGAGGCUGGUAUGAAUGGCAAGACGGGGGUUAAGCUGUCUCUUUCUUAAUACUUGAAUUUUAUAUUUUUGUGAAGAAGCGGAAAUUAAUUCGUAGGACGAGAAGACCCUAUCGAGCUUUAGUGAUAUUAUUAGUGGUGUUUUAGUAUAAAUUUUCUAAUGUAAAUUGUUUAAUAUAAAAAAUUUAAUUUUUUAUACUUAAUCAUCUAAUAAGGUAACUUUGGUUGGGGCAACCACGGAGUAAAAAAAUCCUCCGUUGAAUAAAUUAAAAAAUUACUAUUUUAUAUAUGAAGUGAUCCGCUUAAUAGCGAGCAAAGGAAUAAGUUACCGUAGGGAUAACAGCGUAAUUUUUUUGGAGAGUUCAUAUUGAUAAAAAAGUUUGCGACCUCGAUGUUGGAUCAAGAUUUCCUAGAGAUGCAGCAGUUUCUAAGGGUUGGUCUGUUCG